Molecule: ribosomal RNA, 316 nt
Filed under: uncultured bacterium
Lineage: Bacteria
Description: bacterial SSU rRNA
Rfam family: Bacterial small subunit ribosomal RNA
Source: RNAcentral
GAUGAACGCUGGCGGCGUGCCUAACACAUGCAAGUCGAACGAAGCACCUUGAAGUUUUCGGACAGAUGGGUGACUGAGUGGCGGACGGGUGAGUAACGCGUGGGUAACCUGCCUCACACUGGGGGACAACAGUUAGAAAUGACUGCUAAUACCGCAUAAGCGCACAGUACCGCAUGGUACGGUGUGAAAAACUCCGGUGGUGUGAGAUGGACCCGCGUCUGAUUAGCUGGUUGGUGGGGUAACGGCCUACCAAGGCGACGAUCAGUAGCCGACCUGAGAGGGUGACCGGCCACAUUGGGACUGAGACACGGCCCAA